Molecule: long non-coding RNA, 200 nt
Organism: Etheostoma cragini (Arkansas darter)
Lineage: Eukaryota; Metazoa; Chordata; Actinopteri; Perciformes; Percidae
Exons: 3
Source: RefSeq, a predicted model, not a curated record
CCGGCUCGCGUUAGCCCAUUUCCUGAUUGAUUCUACCACCACUCCAGUGGAGGCGUUAAUGAGGUAAAAAAAAAAUAAAAACAGAAGUGAGUCGGUUCUUUGAUGUAUGGCACUUGUUUCUCCCGGUUCAGCGACACGAGUUGGGUUAAUUAACCGGCUCUUCGGUCAGUUCGUCAACAUUAGUCUAUGUUAGGACAUGA